AUUGAACGCUGGCGGCAGGCCUAACACAUGCAAGUCGAACGAGUGGCGGACGGGUGAGUAAUGUCUGGGAAACUGCCUGAUGGAGGGGGAUCACUACUGUAAACGGUAGCUAAUACCGCCUACCAUCGGAUGUGCCCAGAUGGGAUUAGCUAGUAGGGGGGGUAAAGGCUAACCUAGGCGACGAUACCUAGCUGGUCUGAGAGGCUGACCAGCCAGACUGGAACUGAGACACGGUCAAGACUCCUACGGGAGGCAGCAGUGGGGAAUAUUGCACAAUGGGGGCAAGCCUGAUGCAGCAAUGCGGCGUGUAUGAAGAAGGCCUUCGGGUGGUAAAGUACUUUCAGCGGGGAGGCGUUACCCGCAGAGGAAGCACCGGCUAACUCCGUGCCAGCAGCCGCGGUAAUUC
Molecule: ribosomal RNA, 406 nt
Filed under: uncultured bacterium
Lineage: Bacteria
Description: partial 16S ribosomal RNA
Rfam family: Bacterial small subunit ribosomal RNA
Source: RNAcentral